This 254-nucleotide ribosomal RNA is filed under the name uncultured bacterium. Its description in RNAcentral is "partial 16S ribosomal RNA". It matches the Rfam family "Bacterial small subunit ribosomal RNA", at positions 524 to 776 of the family's 1533-position model. The record is from RNAcentral.
UACGUAGGCAGCGAGCGUUGUUCGGAGUUACUGGGCGUAAAGGGUGUGUAGGCGGUUGUUUAAGUUUGGUGUGAAAUCUCCCGGCUCAACUGGGAGGGUGCGCCGAAUACUGAAUGACUUCGAGUGCGGGAGAGGAGAGUGGAAUUCCUGGUGUAGCGGUGAAAUGCGUAGAUAUCAGGAGGGACACCGGUGGUGUAGACGGCUCUCUGGACCGUAACUGACGCUGAGACACGAAAGCGUGGGUAGCAAACAGG